Molecule: transfer RNA, 70 nt
Filed under: Camelus bactrianus (Bactrian camel)
Lineage: Eukaryota; Metazoa; Chordata; Mammalia; Artiodactyla; Camelidae
Also listed under: 2 other names
Rfam family: tRNA
About the family: Transfer RNA (tRNA) molecules are approximately 80 nucleotides in length. Their secondary structure includes four short double-helical elements and three loops (D, anti-codon, and T loops).
Source: Rfam by way of RNAcentral
UGGGUUAUAGCUCAGCAGUAGAGCGUGUGCUUAGCAUGCACAAGGUCUUGGGUUCUAUCCCCAGUCCCAC